CUUUAUUCUGCCCCCCUACCCCUCACACAAACAAUAACACCUUACACCGUCACACACUGCACCACACACACACACUGCCCUCCCAUAAACACACACACUGCACCCCUCUCUCUCUCUCUCACACACACACACACACUGCACCCCCAUACACACACUUCCCCCCAUACACACACACUGUACCCCUCACACACACUGCCCCAUAAUCACACAAUGCACCCCCAUACACACACACACUGCCCCCCAUACACACACUGCCUCUCUCAUACAUACUGUCCCAAAACAGACACUGCCCCUCAUACGCAAAUUGCCCCCUCACACACUGCACCCCUCACACACACACACACACUGCACCCCAUACACACACACUGCAUCCCUCACACACACUCUACACCCAACACACACACACUUCACUAUUCACACACUACACCCCUAACACACACUGCCCCACACAUACACAUACUACACCCGUCACACACACUACACCACUCACACACACAAGCACUGACACUCUCACACACUGCCCCCUCACACACAAUGCCCCCCUUACACACAAUGCCUCCCUCACAUGCACACACACUUCACCCCUCACACACACGUCACUCCUCAAACACACAUCACUCCUCACACACACACACACUACUGCCCCAAACCAGGCAGACCCCAG
This is a non-coding RNA of Pelobates cultripes (western spadefoot toad), 664 nucleotides long. The record is from the annotation of a GenBank genome assembly. NCBI's taxonomy places the organism in Eukaryota, Metazoa, Chordata, Amphibia, Anura, Pelobatidae.